This 526-nucleotide ribosomal RNA is filed under the name uncultured bacterium. RNAcentral describes it as "bacterial SSU rRNA". It matches the Rfam family "Bacterial small subunit ribosomal RNA", at positions 983 to 1509 of the family's 1533-position model. The record is from RNAcentral.
GACAUCCAGCGAACUUUCCAGAGAUGGAUUGGUGCCUUCGGGAACGCUGAGACAGGUGCUGCAUGGCUGUCGUCAGCUCGUGUUGUGAAAUGUUGGGUUAAGUCCCGCAACGAGCGCAACCCUUAUCCUUUGUUGCCAGCGAUUCGGUCGGGAACUCAAAGGAGACUGCCGGUGAUAAACCGGAGGAAGGUGGGGAUGACGUCAAGUCAUCAUGGCCCUUACGAGUAGGGCUACACACGUGCUACAAUGGCGCAUACAAAGAGAAGCGACCUCGCGAGAGCAAGCGGACCUCAUAAAGUGCGUCGUAGUCCGGAUCGGAGUCUGCAACUCGACUCCGUGAAGUCGGAAUCGCUAGUAAUUGUGGAUCAGAAUGCCACGGUGAAUACGUUCCCGGGCCUUGUACACACCGCCCGUCACACCAUGGGAGUGGGUUGCAAAAGAAGUAGGUAGCUUAACCUUCGGGAGGGCGCUUACCACUUUGUGAUUCAUGACUGGGGUGAAGUCGUAACAAGGUAGGCGUAGCGAG